RNAcentral lists this long non-coding RNA (1558 nucleotides) under Citrus x clementina. Its description in RNAcentral is "Citrus clementina (C. clementina) long non-coding RNA (CCLE_LNC001513)". Lineage: Eukaryota; Viridiplantae; Streptophyta; Magnoliopsida; Sapindales; Rutaceae. The record is from RNAcentral.
CCAAAUUCACAUGAACAUCAUCACCAACUUUGGUACCACAGAAUAAGGAUUCCCCUAAUUCCGCCGAGCCCCUUCACCUAUAAAAUUCUGCAACCCUCUUAGAAAAUGUAGAAGCAAAAUAAGUUUUUGUCUUGGCUGACAAUUCUAAGCAGCCCUAUAUAUGUUCUUGUACGUAUAAUACCAACAAACGCAUGAGAAGAUUUAUCAGACUUUUUGAAAUAUAUUUUAAGACUAAUAGGACCAUGAAUGUAAAUACCAACAAGAGCAUCGAAGGAAAAAGAAAGAAACACCACCAACCUCAAGAAAAUCUCUAUGCAUCUUUUCCUCUGCUACAAUAGCUUUAUCAAGAAUUCCACCUGAUGUUGCACUAGUGAAAAAAUUAUAUUCUAUGACUAAAUAAUUGGUACCUUUAAAGUUUACAGUUAACUAAAUUACUAAUGACGCUUAGGAGAUUCUCUCCACAAAUGACGAUUAAGAGAUUCUCUCCACAAAUUAUUCAAGAAAAAAUUACUAAUGACAAUUAACAGAUUCUCUCCACAAGUUAUUCAAGAAAUUUUUGCAGAUAAUAUCAAUUAGAUUUUGCAACAUUUUUUUAAUAUUCUUUUCAUUCCUACUGAAGUAUCAAACAAUACCAGCCACAAUGCAAACUCAUGGCAUUACUUGAGUAGUAACUUAACCAUUUGUCACAAGUUGUACAAGACUCUUCAAUCCAAAAGAGGGCUGAAUUGUAGACUAAAACCUAGGCCUAUUAUUAAAAGCCCAAAAGUGCACUAUUAACUAGAUUUGUAAAUUUCUUGAAUGCUAAAACUAAAAAGUUCAUUCAUAUGAAGUUAUAAGUUUUGGCCUCACUGUUCUACUCAUCCUUAUCUCGCUUAAUUUAGCUGAUUAAUAGAGCAGGUUCUAGAACACAACAAAUGUUUCUAAAAAUUGAUAAAUGACAAAAUUCUACAAUGAAUUAUUGUAAUACUAAGACACAAGAUUACCCAGAAAUGUAACAGAACUUUUAACAAACACAUGGAAUGCAAAGCCUAGAUCUAACAAAUGCAAAAAACAAAAAAAAAUCAUUAUGCAAGAGUUGGAAAAAUAUCUUAAUUAUAUUGUAUUUAGAUUUAUAAUCACACAUUGAAUAAGAGAAACAAUCAAACAAAACAAUAAUAUUGCAAAAAGACUUGAAACCCACAAAAAAAUCAUGCUUAGGGUUUCAAAGAGAUGAGAAUCGUGAAGCUCAUGUCGAAGAUAGUUGAGAUAACUACGAAGUUCAACAUCACUCACUAGAAAUCACUGAGAAAUAGGUAAAGCUUGUUAGCGAAUUAGUGUGAGUUUCUAGGAUUCUCGGUGGCUAGGGUUUGGGUUGUCGUCGACAGGUAAGGUUUGGUUUCAAUUUAAGACUAAAUUCAAUUCUGCUGUAGCAAAGAGAGACGACAACGGUUUACCGGCAAGCCAAUAACAGUGAGGGUUGUCAUUGUCGGUGAGGAGUGAGCUACGUUCGAGAUAGAAGCUUUAGAGUAGUGAGUGUGGUCUUAACAUGUUGAAAGAUUAAUAAGGGUAUGAAACAACG